AGUGAACGCUGGCGGUAGGCCUAACACAUGCAAGUCGAACGGCAGCACAGUAAGAGCUUGCUCUUACGGGUGGCGAGUGGCGGACGGGUGAGGAAUACAUCGGAAUCUACUUUUUCGUGGGGGAUAACGUAGGGAAACUUACGCUAAUACCGCAUACGACCUACGGGUGAAAGCAGGGGAUCUUCGGGCCUUGCGCGAUUGAAUGAGCCGAUGUCGGAUUAGCUAGUUGGCGGGGUAAAGGCCCACCAAGGCGACGAUCCGUAGCUGGUCUGAGAGGAUGAUCGGCCACACUGGAACUGAGACGCGGUCCAGACUCCUACGGGAGGCAGCAGUGGGGAAUAUUAGACAAUGGGCGCAAGCCUGAUCCAGCCAUACCGCGUGGGUGAAGGAGGCCUUCGGGUUGUAAAGCCCUUUUGUUGGGAAAGAAAAGCAGCAGGUUAAUACCCCGCUGUUCUGACGGUACCCAAAGAAUAAGCACCGGCUAACUUCGUG
Molecule: ribosomal RNA, 492 nt
Filed under: uncultured bacterium
Lineage: Bacteria
Description: partial 16S ribosomal RNA
Rfam family: Bacterial small subunit ribosomal RNA
Source: RNAcentral